RNAcentral lists this ribosomal RNA (450 nucleotides) under uncultured bacterium. Its description in RNAcentral is "partial 16S ribosomal RNA". It matches the Rfam family "Bacterial small subunit ribosomal RNA", at positions 354 to 796 of the family's 1533-position model. The record is from RNAcentral.
GUGGGGAAUUUUGGACAAUGGGGGCAACCCUGAUCCAGCAAUGCCGCGUGCAGGAAGAAGGCCUUCGGGUUGUAAACUGCUUUUGUACGGAACGAAACGGUCUGGGUUAAUACCCUGGGCUAAUGACGGUACCGUAAGAAUAAGCACCGGCUAACUACGUGCCAGCAGCCGCGGUAAUACGUAGGGUGCGAGCGUUAAUCGGAAUUACUGGGCGUAAAGCGGGCGCAGGCGGUUUUGUAAGACAGGCGUGAAAUCCCCGGGCUCAACCUGGGAAUGGCGCUUGUGACUGCAAAGCUGGAGUGCGGCAGAGGGGGAUGGAAUUCCGCGUGUAGCAGUGAAAUGCGUAGAUAUGCGGAGGAACACCGAUGGCGAAGGCAAUCCCCUGGGCCUGCACUGACGCUCAUGCACGAAAGCGUGGGGAGCAAACAGGAUUAGAAACCCUGGUAGUCC